Molecule: long non-coding RNA, 585 nt
Organism: Equus caballus (horse)
Lineage: Eukaryota; Metazoa; Chordata; Mammalia; Perissodactyla; Equidae
Source: RefSeq, a predicted model, not a curated record
UGGUUGUGUGUGGUUGGGAGCUUGUUUACAGAACUGGGUUUGGAAGCUCAUUUCUUGAUUAUUCAUCUCCAGUUCCCAGACCAGGUGAUGCUUGCAUUUAAGCAGGAAUUGUGUGCCUGCCAUGUACCAUAUAUCUCAAACUCCCAGCUUCAUGGUCCUCAAAAAUGCUAUUUCAGGUGAUGGAUGAAACCAGCUUCCUUCGGACCAUAUCAGAAGGAGUACGUCUUCUGUCCAAGAAACCAGCAAGUGCAUGGUCAUCUGAAACAAUUCCAAAGGAUGCUGAGAAGCAUCUAGUGCUCAGAAGACCUCUAAAGCUGCCGGACAAGCGAUGACUACCUGUUCCCAAAUUUGGGAAUGGAAAAUCAGCAGCCAACUUUUAUAUUUUAAAGCUUUUAAGUGAUGGCUAUUUGGCUUGGUGAGAAGGAAGGUGGCCGAAUCACGUGCAUGAGGAACAUUUGAUAUGCGUCCAUCUGGGUUCUUGCUAUUCUUGAAGAUGCCUGCACAGAAUUCCACCCCCUACCCCGAACACCUCCUCUGUUCUCCUCAAAGGCCCAUGAUGGCCAUUUACCAAAUAUAUUGUACCGU